RNAcentral lists this long non-coding RNA (22118 nucleotides) under Gossypium barbadense (sea-island cotton). RNAcentral's name for it is "long non-coding RNA (GBAR_LNC011541)". The record is from RNAcentral. Lineage: Eukaryota; Viridiplantae; Streptophyta; Magnoliopsida; Malvales; Malvaceae.
UAAAAUGAAAAUUUGAUGGUUUAAUUUGUAAGGGUCGAAUUGUUGUUGUCUUUAUUUUAUGAGGUAUUUAUGUUGCAAUUAGACCAUAUUUAUAAAUCAUGGAUGGCUAACGACAUGAAUAUAAUGUUUGUAUAAUUAUUUUAUAAAGGUUAAUUUAGUAAAAUAUGUAAUAAUAUGUAUAAAAUAAAUCAUAAAAAUUUAAAAGCCAUAUUUUCAUCUUUUUUCUUUGACAGAAACAUUAAAGAAAAAAAAAGAAAUAAGGUUUUCAAUGGUUCAGCCAUUGUUAAGCUUAAUCAAGGUAUGUAGCUGUAAGACCUAAUUUGUGACCGGGCUUACACAAACUAAAAAACAAAUCAAAAUAUAAAUAAUAAUAAUAAUAAUAAAGUCUAAUGUCCAUUUCUUACAUAGCCCAACAACCAAAAAUAACGGGCUCAAAUUAAAAAACCUAAACCCAACAAAAUACACAGCUCACUGGCCCAAAUAAUCCAAGCUUCAGUUUCAGAAAAUGAAACCCUAAGUCAGUAGCCUCGUGCCGCAGCCUUCACGAGUGGCCUCGCUACAUCGCACGUGCACCUCCGUUCCUCCACGUCAACGGAACCUGUGAGAAGGAAAAUAAACAGCAAAGGAAUGCACGAGAGAGAAGCUAACAGAAUUUACAGCGAUUGACAGCAAGAAAAUGUAAUUUUAUUUUUUAUUUACUCUGUAAAUCCGGCUAUAAAAAGCCAUCGAAUGUACCUGCAAAGGAGGCAUAUGACGCACAGUGUACGCAUACACACAUACAAUAUACAGAUAUUGAAUAGAAAAGUUUAAAAGCAUUUUGAAAAGGUAAUUUUCUUUAGUCUUUUUAACUAUUCUGUUAUUUUUUAUAUAUUUUCUUGCCAUUGCUUUCAUCAUCUGUGUUUUAAAAUAAAGAGGAGAGAAAAGCAAGUCUCACCUUGCAAAUCGGCCACCGAUCUCCGUUCACUUCGUUGAGAUCGAAGUAGAAAGGGGAUCCAAAGGCAACAUCUAUUACUGCUGGUGCGCCAUUGAGCACCAAAUUAAAUGGUGGAUUCGACAGAUGCAGAAAACCGAAGCAAAUUGAUUUUUGGGGGUUGUUAAUUUAGGUUAAAAAAUGGCUGAACUAAAAGAAGAGAAAAAGGCAUUAAAACCUUUGUAGAAAGUGGUGCUGUUUGAAAUGGAAAAGUCCACGUGUAAACCCGAUGCAAAAGACAGAUCUGCACUCUUUUUUAUCUUAAAUGAGCUAUUUGCACGUCUGAUCCUUCCCGCAUAUGUCAAUCUUCAAUCGGAUCCAACCUAUGCUACACUUAUUUUUUUAUUUUGUCUGGGAAUUUGUACACUAUUGCGAUUUGAUCCACGGCUAAAUUCAGCGUUUUGAAAUGUAAAUUAUUUCCAAUUCUGGUCCUUAUACAUUUGCAAGCAUGACGCCUAAGUCCCUAUUUUGAUUUUAAUAGUUUUAUUUUUAAAAUUUCCUUCGUAUUUUAACUCAAUUUUAAUUUAGUUUUAUUUGUAUAGUCUACCAUACAUUCAACGUUGUACAUGUAUUAGCUUAAUUGAGAUUUUAAUUUAUGAUGCAUAUUAUUUAAAAUUGGUUUAAUUUUUUUAAAAUUAAUUUGAUCUUUGUUAACAGCUUCUUCUAUAUUUUAUUUGCAAUUAGGUUAUAGUUUUUUUUUUUUUUGCGUAACCUUUAACUCAAAAUUUUUUUUUAUUUUGGCAGCUAUAUUAUUUAAAUCAAGUCUUUUGUUCACUAUGAUUUUGAGAAUUCAUUUGGUUCUUCAUAUAUAUACAUGCUAAAUUAUGUUUCUCACUUUAUAUAACUAUUAUUUUGAAGCUAUUUUAUAUUAUAUUGUUUUAAUAAUUUAUAUAAUAUUUUUUUAAUAUUUUUGUGUAUAUUUGUACAUAUAUUAUUUUAAUGGUUUUUUUAUUUAAAAUACUUAUUAUUUUAAAAUUCAUUUAAAUAUGUAUGCAAGGUUAUUUGGGAAAUUCAUUCUUGUGUUUACAAAAUUAUUAUUUUGAAACGCUUCUUUAUGUUAUAUUAUCUUAGUGUUUUAUUUAGUAUCCCUUCUAAAUGUUUUAAGUAUAAUAGUAUGUAUAUAAUUUAUAAGAUAAUCUAAUUUUAUAUGUAUUAUUAAUUUCAUAUUUUGUUUAUAUAAAUAAUUAUUCCUAUAUCAUAUGUGCAUGUCUCAAAAGAAAAUCUAUUAUGUGUACUAUACCUUGCCAUGUAUUAUUAUUUCUUCAUAUUUAAUAUAUUAUUUAAGUUAUCAUUAAGCAUAUAUUUUUGUAUUUAUAUUUAAUUUACAUACAUUAUUAAAACCAUGAUAUUUUUAAAUAUAUAGUUUUUUUUAAGUUUGUACCUAAUAAUUUUUAUUAAAUGCAUAGUAUGUGAUAAAAUUAAGUUAAUUUUACAAUUCAUAUUUUUAUUUCAUGAUAUUCUAACAUUUAAUUAUUUCUAAAAUAUAUGUAUAUAACCCAUAUUAAAUUAUUUUAUUAUAGUCUACAUUAUUGAUUUCAAAUUAAUAUUUCUUUUACGUAUAUAUAUAUAUUUUCUCUUUAAAAUUAUUCAUGCGUAUAAUGCGUUUAUUUUAAGAACUAUAUUUUAAGUCGUACCAUUUAUUUAUUGUAUAUAUUCUCCUAUUUUAUUAUCCUUAUACAUGUAUUAUUUUCAUCAAUCCAAAUCAAGUUGUUAUAUAUAAAAUUAUGUUAUAUUUUGUUUUAAAUUUCCCUUUAUAAAUAUAGUUUUAUAAAUAUACAUCACUAAAUUUAUGUAUUUUGUAAAUAUAAUUUUCUUUGUUAUGUACACUCUAUCCUAUCAUGUUUUUUCUUUUUUCUUUUAUAUGUUAUUUAAGCAACCAUGCAUAUUAUCAAUUUUUAAAAUUUGUGUUUGAAAUGUUUUGCAUAUUAUUCGAUUCAAAUGUUUUAUUCUACAAUAUUUAUGUCAAAUAAUUAUAUAUCUUUAGUUUUCAUACCAAUUUGUCAACUUAUUUUAUGUGUUAAUUAAUUCAUCAUUAUUUUGAAAAUGUCCUAUACUAUGCUAAGUUCUAAUUCCAUUUCAUUUUGUACAUAUUUUAUGGAUCAUUUUAUAUUAUGUCCUGUUAAUUAUUGUUGUAUAUCAUUUUUGUAUUGAUUGUUCGUCAUCUAUGAUUAAGAAUUUGGUCAUUUUACUUAGAAUAAUUGUACAUAAUUAUGGAUUUGUUAAUUGCGACUUGUUGUAUCCUAUUAUUUCAUGCUCAUUAACCCUUUCUCAUACAAAUGUUUUGAUACAAUGAAGCAUUCCAUUUUAAAACGGAUAAACGUGUUUUGAGCAAAUUUCCAAUUUUCUUUCUCACUCAAAAUUUUUGAAAUAAGGCUAUAUCCAAUAUUUGGGGAGUUCGGAAAAUCGUGCUCAAUCGUACUGGGUAUGAUUUUUUCGGUGAACUAAAUAUUGGGAUAACCUUUUAUAAUUUUAGUUUACGAGUUUUCAAAAGUCGAAAAUCAAUCGCGUUUUAAAGGUAUAAGGGAUCGUAUCCAAUCGUGCUGAGUAUGAUACUGCAUAUCUUUGAAACGAGAGAAUUUUGACCAUUAAUUUAAACUAUUCGAACAUUUUAAAAAAGAAUCAUACUUUGGGAAAUCUUUUCUUUAAAAGGCCUUUUGGCAUAAGAAUAGCAUCAAAUCAAAUUGGUACCAAUUUUUGGGCGUAAUGACGGUGCUAACCCUUCCUCAUGCGUAAUCGACUCCCGAACCCACUUUUUUGAUUUUACAUGAAUAAAGAGUUUUAGUAGGUGGCCCAAUCACACCUAAAUCAAGAGAUUGGUGGCGACUCCACAUUUUUGUUUUCAAAAGUCGAUCUCCAUUGUUUUCAAAAUAAAAAGGGUUUCGACAGCUCGGCAACUCCACUGGGGAUUGAACAAAGAGAGUCAGGCCAUAAAAUUGAUUAUUUGCUUUCCUUUUGUCAAAGAAUUGAAAAUUUGUUUUGAAAAUCAUGAUUCUUUUAAUUGCAUUUGUUUGCAUGAUUAUUGUGGUUCGAGUCUUGUAGAAUAAUAUGGCAUUACAUUGCAUGACCGCUGUGGUUGUAACUGUUAAGUAGGAGUAAGAAACUAUGCUUUCGUAAGGUUUUCACCUCCGUAUGGGCUAGUGGAUUGCUUUCGGGAUACAUCCGUACCUAUGAUUUCGUGAGAUUUUCAUCUCCGCAUGGUCAUAGGGAAAUGUAUUCCCCUGAAUCGAACUCGAUUCAUAUGAGCCUAUAAUGGGUGAGAAUUGAGGAAUCUGCUGGUUCAGGUACCCUUUCUUUAGAACCAAACCACAUAUAGUAAACCUUGAGAAUCCACCUUAUGUAGAACCUUGCCCAAAUUUAGUGGUCACCUGAAUAGGUACUUUAUUUGAUAUUUAUUUCACCUAUACUAACGUGUUUUGUUUUUGUUUUGUUUAUAAUUGCAUUGCAUUACAUCAUCAUAGAAAGGAGGUGUUGAUUCAUAUUUGAUUGCUAAAUAGAACAGUUUGUCAUAAGAAAACGAAUUUCCUAAUGAAGUGGAUUAUAAUACGGUUGUCUGAAUUGACGGAAGAAGGCUGACAGUUCGUGGAGAAAAACAAGUCCUUACCUGAAGAUUCAAGCUGAUAAAGAUUGUUCAAGAGCCGUCGCAUCUCGAUUUUCUUAAUGGAGCUAAUCAACGUCGCGAGGAUAAUGAGUCGUAGCCUGGAUCAAGCAAAGAAGAGCUACUGGAGGCAUUUAUUAGAGGCUUGCGAGAUUUGGAUUUCACGAAGAAAAGGGAUCGGUGUCUUUGCCUGGAAUAUGAAAGCAAGGCCGUAUAUGUAAUCCGUUUUAUGUAAAGGAAUUUGUUUUCUUGAAAACUUGUUCUAAUGGAAUUAAAUUGAAAAUCAACAUCUCUCUUUCUUUUGCAUUCAUCCCAUGCAUUUGCAUUGCAUUGCAUCAUUUCAUUAUUUGCAUUAAAUUUUUAUAAAGGGGUCCCUAAUUAGUUGAAAUCAUUUCAGUUAAUCUAGGAACCAAUAAAAACUUACCAACCAAGCAUCAUUACGGUACCCGUGCUAAGACAAAAGAUAUGGACAAAAGAUUGGAAAGACUUGAACAACUUCAAAGAGAGAUGCAAGACCAGUUACAAAUACAGAUGCAAGAGCAACUAGCGAAGAUUAGGCAGGAUAUGAAAGAUCUGGUGCUAGAAUCUUAAAGGAAUAUGUUGAACCGGUUGUCUCAAUUGCUGACAAAGGGGCUUAAAGAAAGGAAAAGUUCUAUGAUCAAUACUGGGAAGGACAAUAAAGAGCCUCUCUACCCUCCAGGUUUCACCCCGACGAAUGUUCAGACGUGUCUGCAAGGUGUACCUAUUAUCAGAACUCAGCAAUAUCAGGCUGGUAACUCAGUAUCGGUGGAUUACCUGAUAGGCUCAAGCUCCAAUCCGAGAGGAAACCUAACCAAUCUUGAAGUUCUUGAUCUAGAUUAAAUGGAAAAAGUAAAGAGGGAAUUACCAAAACAACUCGAAGAUCGGUAUAGGUGGUUGGAGGAAAAAUUGAAAGCAAUGGAGAGUGUUGACUUCUACUGUGGAAUUGAUGCCAAGGAUUUGAGUUUGGUCCCUGAUCUAGUACUCCCGCCAAAGUUUAAGAUUCCUGAGUUUGAAAAGUACAAUGGGACCAGUUGUCCUGAAGUUCACAUCAUAAUGUUCUGUCGAAGGAUGACAGGGUAUGUUAACAACGACCAAUUAUUAAUUCAUUGCUUCUAGGACAGUCUAAUCGGGUCAGUAGCUAAAUGGUACAACCAAUUGAGUCGUGUUAAAAUCAAUUCAUGGAAGGACUUAGCACAAGCUUUUAUGAAGCAGUAUAGCCAUGUAACAGAUAUGGCAUCCAACAGAAUUACCUUGCAGGAUAUGGAAAAGAAGCAAAGUGAGAGCUUCAGGCAAUAUGCCCAAAGAUGGAAAGAGGUAGCAACACAGGUCCAACCGCCUCUUUUGGAAAAGAAGACCACGAUGCUUUUCAUCAAUACUCUAGAAGCUCCGUUCAUUAAUUAUAUGUUGGGAAGUACUACGCUGAGCUUUUCAGAUAUAGUAAUGUCUGGUGAGAUGAUUGAAGAUGCGAUAAGAAAUGGGAAAAUAGAUAUGGGAGAAAAUGCCAAAAGGUCAAAUCCGAGAAAUGAGGAAAAUGAAGUGAACAUCACGAGCAUGCCUUCCAAAUUGGUCAACAUAAGCCAGCCAAGGGUUGUAACCGCUGGUUAUCAAAGAGAAUUUGAAUGACAUAUCUAAAGAGAGGUCCAGGGAAUAAAAGUUUCUAAAACCUUAUGUAUUUGGGGGUGUUUUAAGAAAUGGAACUGUGGAAGAGAUCCUUGUAUUUUUAGAGUUGAUUUAGAGUAAUAUUCAAAACACACUUGUUGCCUUAAGCCUAGGGGCAAUAAGAAUCCUUUUGUGAAAUAGGCUUGUGUCCAAAACUUUUUAUUUCAAUAAAAUGCAUGUUUUUUGAAUUUUCUUUCAUUAUUUAUUCUUUUGUUCUUUGGACUACUUUUUUUAAAAAAAAUAUGCUUUUGUUCUUCAUUCAUGAUCAUACUAUACAAAUAAUUAUCCUUAGAAUCUUUGGAAUUAGUCUUUGUACCUACAAUAGGUCCCCAGAUAUUAAUGACAUGAGCAACGCUGUAACUAACUCCCUUUUGGGGUGAGAUAUGUGUUUAAGCGGAUCUCAGGACUUUGAAGAUGACAGAGAUUGUGACUUAUUUCCUGAUUUGUUAAGGAUGGUAGAACAAGAUGAAAAAAAUGGAUCUUUGUAAUAUCCUGAUUUUGGGCCUAGUCAGAAUAGUGGUUUUGUGACCCAAAAAUUCGAGAUAGAAAUAAUUAUUUUAUGAUUAUUUUGAGGUCUAUGAUAUUAUUGCAUGAUUGUGUGAAAAUUUCGUGAAGAAAUUUUAUGCAUAAAGUGCUUAAAUUGAAAUUAGGGACUAAAUCGAAUAAUUUGUAAAACUUGCAUUCUAGAAGUUUCUAGUAUGAAAUUGUUUUGAAAUAUUAAUUAGAAGGUUUUAAAUAGAAAUUUUACCAAUUUCUAAGUCUAUGGAAAAAAAUUGGACAUGGAUAGAAUUUUUGGAAAGUUUAGUAGUAAGGGCAUUUUGGUCAUUUAGGGGUAAAAUGAAUUAAAAUAUAAAAUUAAAAGCCAAUUUUGCUCAUCUUCAACCCCAUGGCCGAAUAUAGCAAGGAGAAACCAUGGCUAGGGUUUUCAAGCUUCCAAGCUCGAUUGUAAGUCCGUUCUAGCCUCGUUUUUUGGAGUCUUAGUAGCUCGAUUAAGCUUAUGCUAGCAAUAAUUCAACCUAGGGUUCAUAUUUGGAAAAUACCCAUAGGUGAAAUUUGUGUAUUUUGGUGUUUUAUGAUAGAAUAUGAGGUUUUAAAUUAUGUUAGACAACUUGUGCUACUCGGUUUUAAGCGAAAACUAGCAAAAGGGCUUAAUCGGUAAAAAUACCUAAUAGUCAUAAGUACAUGUUAGAGUGAGAAUUUGAUGUUUCUAUAGAAGGGAAAAAUGAUCAGCAUGUCAUAAAACAUAAGAAAAUAGGCUGAAUUUUAAUUUACGAGCUUUGGGGAAAAAGUGUAAAUAUGCAAAAGUUUAGGGGCAAAAUUGUAAUUUUUCCAAAAUAUGAUUUUGGGUCCAUUUGAAUAAUGUGAGUCCUAAUUAGACUAUAUUUUAAAUGAUAGAGCAAGGAAAACUAAAAUUUAGGCUAAAAUGGAAAAAUACCAAGUUGUGGACGAAAUAGUAAAAGUAGCCAUUUUCGCGUACGAGGUAAGUUCAUGUGUAAAUGUAGUAACAUAAUUGUCAUAUUAAGCAAUUUAAUGUUGUUUAUAUGAUAUGAUGCUGAUUAUUAUCAUGAAAUAUUAUGCUUUGUAGUUAUUGUUGAAUAAUAUGUAAUUAUGUGAAUUACUUGAUGAGUAUGAACUAUCACCGAAGUAUCAAUUUCGAUAUUCCGUGGAAGAUGGCAAAGAUGUGAGAUCAAGGAAAAAGCCCGUUUGAACCUUAGGAAUAGAUUAGGAUACAAGUGACAUGUCACUAGGAUGUUUGGGCAUCCGAACUCGUUGAGUUGAGUCCGAGUUCACUUAUGGAUGCGAAUGUCCAAACUCGUUGAGUUGAGUCCGAGUUCGAGAGAUUUAACUAGGCAUCCGAGCUCGUUGAGUUGAGUCCGAGUUCACUUAUGGAUAUGAACGCUCGAGCUCGUUGAGUUGAGUCCGAGUUCACUUAUGGGCGGGUUACAUGGUAGCUUGGCUACAUAUGUGGCACUUAUGUGCAAACUUUCCAUGUAUCCGAAUUAUAUUCCGAUGUGUUCAACGGGUAAAGUUCUACUCAAAUGGAGGAAUACUCAAGAUGAAAGGGACGUAUUGGUAAGUGUUGUGAAAUGGAUACUUUGAACAGGUAUGUACUUAACCCUCGGGUUGAAAACUCGAUAUAACAACAAUAUGGUAAGAUGAUAAAUGAAAAUGUGAUAUGGAUGUCUUGGUGAUGAUUAUGCAAAUGAUGUUUUAUGUUUGCUUAUAUGGUUAUGUUACUUGCUAUUUGCAUGUGAACUUACUAAGCAUUUAUGCUUACUCCCUCCUUUUCAUUCCUUGUAGUGUUGACAAGCCAGCUCGGAAAUCGAAAACGGUCGGAGGCACGCUCACACUAUCUGUAUACCAUCUUGGCAUAAUGGCUUGUAUAUUUUGAGUAUGACAUGUAUAGCAUUAUAAUCAUUUUGUGUAUAUGGUCUUAUGAUAUGGUUAUUGAGUGGUAUGGAAAUGCUUGGUAAUAAUUAGCCAUUGGAAUGGCUAAUCAUGAUCAUAUUUGGUGUUAUGUAUGCUAAAUUGCUAGCUAAUUCAUGGAAACCAUGAAAUAGGUAAAAUUUACCAUAAAAUAGAUUCAGACAGCAGCAGUGACGUGAGUUUGAAAAAUCACUAAAAAUAGUAGAGAUACAACUAGAUGAUGAAUAAUAUAUGGAAUUGAAUAAUUAUGAGUCUAUUUUCAUAUGGAUGGAACAAAACAGGUAUAUGAGUUAUAUUUUAUGAGAUGUUUAAAUUUUUGUGAAACAGGGCUAGUGCGAUUUCUGGAUCCCCUGUUCUGACUUUGGAAAUUCACCAUAAAUGUUUCAAAAAUAAUUAGAAGUCAUGAUUUAUAUGUACAGAUUCCUUAUUUAGUCUAGUUUUAUUAAAAAUAAACGACAUAGUCAUUGAAACUCUGUACAGGGAGAUAUUUGAUUCGUAAUACACAGAGGUCAGAGCAGUCGAACCCUGAAAUAGGGGAGACUUUAACUAAUUAACUGUACUAAUUUUCUUGACCAAAAAUUCUUGAAAAAUAAUUAUGAAAUAGAUAUAUGAGUCUAGUUUUAGGGAAAUUUUACGGAAUUAGAUUUUGAGUUUCGUAACUCGAGAUAUGAAUUUUUAAGCGACUAUGACGCAGAUUGUUAGCUUGACUGAAAAUUUUAAAAAUAAAUUGUUUGAGCUGUUUAAGUAAUGAAUUAAGUUUGUUAACACCUCGUGUUUGACUCCAGCGACGGUCUCGGGUACGGGGCGUUACAUUUGGUGGUAUCAGAGCAAGUUUAGUCGGUUCUCGGACUAACCUAGCAUGUGUAAAAGUUUAGCUAUACAUGCCACUGAUCUGUGAUAGUGUGAUGUCUUCCGACGCGUAUGAGUACCGUCUUAUUUAGACAAGGUACUCUCCAACCGAGCUGCGCCGACCAUGUUCAAUGUUAUGUGAAGGUAUUUGAGUAAAAUUAUGAUUAUGAUAAGUCUCGGUUCAGAAAAGUAUGAAUAAAAGUUUAUGAUACAUAUGUGAUAAAUAUUCAUAUUUGCUUAAUGCUCAUAUGAUGUAGUGUAUGUGGCUUACUUGAUAAGAUGAAUGGAAUAAAUAGAAAGUAGUAGAGGUAUGAAUAAAAGUCAUAAUAUUAUGAUACGAAUGAAAAUGUCCUUGUCUUGAUUUGGACGUCUAAUGUUGAUGAAUGCUAAUGAUAUAUAAUUUUUAUGAGAUAAAGGAUUAUAAUGGAAUGAACUUAUCUAUGUUAAAUUGUUGGACUGAAUUAUAUGAUUGUAAUGAUAUGUACAUGAUGAUGCACGAAAUGAAAGUUGUGACUGUGAUGCAAAUAUCUAUGUUUGUUUGGCCUUAUAUGAUGUCAUGAGCAUGAAUUAAUUUAAUUAAAUGAAUGGAUAAGUAAAGCUAUCUAGAAAACAUAGAAUGUAUGCAUAAGUAUAUUGUCUAAAUGGGACAAUAGGAAAAUUGGUGUAAGCCAACAUGAAUGUUGCAUUGCCUGAAUGAAUGACAUGAUUUUGAUGAUGGAAGUUGUGUCAUAUGUGUAUGUAUAAGAAGGUCGAGUCAGAGGUCCUACAACCCCUCCCCCUUACCAAAGUGGUACUUAUAAUGGAAUUUCAUGAGAUUUGUAUUGAAUAAGUUUCCGGUUGAGAACCCAAAGAGUUCAGUGAUAGAAUAAUUAUAAGUAUGAUCAGAGAUUGAAAAUGAGCUGAUAAGUAAAGUCAGAGUCAGUAAAGUAUCAGAUUGAUAUAAAGAUUAUUGGAAUUAUGCACUGUCCCAGUUAAAGAAGGAAAUUCUCUUUGGUAAAUCGAAUUACUCAGGUGCAAGGUCGAGAAAAGUGUAAAUCAAAAAUUUAUUCAGAACUGACCUUCUUUAGUGAAUGAUUUAAUAUGAAAUUUGUGAUGGCAGAACUAGUUGGGGAAAUGAUAUUUGAAAUGUGAACUAUCUGAGUGUGACAGUUAUGACUGGACAGAUUUAGCAGUCUCUUUUGAGAUGUUCUAUGUGUUUACCCGUUCUCAGAAAUAUUUCUAUGGCUAUUGAUCUUAUGAAGAAAUUCUUGUUAUAUGGGAAUGUCUUCUAAUUCUGGUGUUGGAUGAAAGCAUUGGUAGUCUGACUGGUUUAUAAUUUAUAUUGCUCUAUUUCAUCGGGUAUUCUAUUUUAUUUCGUCUGAUAAGAAUUGAUGAGAGAAUACGUAAGAUAUUAUGAUUCAGUUUCUUCUACUUGAUGCUUCAUCUGAUAUAUAUAUGUAUGGGAAGAUAUAUUGAUCUUGUUAUAUUUGAUUUCAGUGGGAUUAAAUGAUGUUUUCUUCUGGACUUUCUUUCUUUGAAGAAUUAUCGGGGUAUUCUAUAUUUUCUCUAUGAGUUUGGUUUUCGAUUCUCCGGCAUAGUAUCAUAUCUUGGGUUUCUUUAUCCUGGAUCUCUUUAUUCUGGAUUUCUUUAUUCUGGGUUUCUCUAUCUUGGAUUUCUUUAUUCGGUUUUCUUGUUAUCUUUGUUUCAUAAUUUGUCAAUUAAGACUCAUGUUCGAAGUGCGUUCUUCAGCUCGUGAUAAUCAUGUCAAAUAUGACUAUACUUCUAAUUUGAUCUUGGUAAUGUGGUGAUUUUAGUAUUGGGAUUUUUUCUAAUUUCUGUGUAAGGAUUUGACAUCAGUAAAGGCAUAGGUGAUAAAAGCGCGAGUUUCAGUCGGUAUGGUGAAUUAUUUAUUUGAAAGAUUUCAUGUGACAAUUAUGUCAGGAUUAUUUUUCUCAAGUCUGAUAAUAGAAUUUCAUUUUGUACAGAUAAAAGAGUAAAUAGUCUGAACGAGAAGUGUAUAUUUAUUAGAAAGAGUUGGAUAUUAGUUAAAGUCACUACGAAUGAUAAGGUUUUCGUCUUGUGAAAGCUGAAAAGUUUAUUACAUGUUGACAGAGUUCGGAUAGAUGAGAAUAUUGGUAACCGAAGCGUUUGAACUAGACUAGUCUACAUUGAGUAAAGACUUCCUGACUUUCAGUAAUGUACUGUUGUAUGAAUUGUGAUGUGUUUCAAGACAGUGAGGUAAUGUGAUAGUUUAGAGCAUUCGAUGUUACAUAAAAUCGGAGUUGUUAAAGGGUUAAAGCCAAGCAUUGGGAUCUAUCAAAAUUAUCCUUGUCAGUGUUGAUAUUGGGAUGAAAAUGAGAAGGAUUAUUCUUGAGGCCAUAUCAGAAAUAUUUCAAUGGCGGAAAGAGGAAAAUGUGAUGUAUCCUAUUGUUAAAUGUUUGGCGAGAUCUAUAAAUCAUAUAUGUAUUGAAUGAAUUCCUACUCAUCAGAUUCAUGGAAUUUCAGGUCUCUUUGAUUUUUGGAUUUCUUGGAAUUCCGGUCUCCAUUAAAUCAAGUUGAGAUCCGAGUUUUAUGUCAUGAUAUCAUGGGAAACUGAGAAGGGUUGAAAAUUUAAAAGAACAGUUGAGAGUUGAGACUGUAAGCUUUUAGAUCAUAUGAGAAAUUGAAGAGAUGUAUUGGAGGUACAGUCUAAGUGCAAGUACUUCGACACCGAAUAUGAGAUUAAAAGUGAAGACCACUUUUCUGGUAAGAUUUUCGGGGACGAAAAUCCCUAAAGGGGGGAGAGUUGUAAUAUCCUGAUUUUGGGCCUAGUCGGAAUAGUGGUUUCAUGACCACAAAAUUCGAGAUAGAAAUAAUUAUUUUAUGAUUAUUUUGAGGUCUAUGAUAUUAUUGCAUGAUUGUGUGAAAAUUUCGUGAAGAAAUUUUAUGCAUAAAGUGCUUAAAUUGAAAUUAGGGACUAAAUCGAAUAAUUUGUAAAACUUGCAUUCUAGAAGCUUAUAGUAUGAAAUUGUUUUGAAAUAUUAAUUAGGAGGUCUUAAAUAGAAAUUUUACCGAUUUCUAAGUCUAUGGAAAAAAAUUGGACAUGGAUAGAAUUUUUGGAAAGUUUAGUAGUAAGGGCAUUUUGGUCAUUUAGGGGCAAAAUGAAUUAAAAUAUAAAAUUAAAAGCCAAUUUUGCUCAUCUUCAACCCCAUGGCCGAAUAUAGUAAGGAGAAACCAUGUCUAGGGUUUUUCAAGCUUCCAAGCUCGAUUGUAAGUCCGUUGUAGCCUCGUUUUUAAUGAUUUUUACGUUUUUGGAGUCUUAAUAGCUCGAUUAAGCUUAUGCUAGCAAUAAUUCAACCUAGGGUUCAUAUUUGGAAAAUACCCAUAGGUAAAAUUUGUGUAUUUUGGUGUUUUAUGAUAGAAUAUGAGGUUUUAAAUUAUGUUAGACAACUUGUGCUACUCGGUUUUAAGCGAAACUAGCAAAAGGGCUUAAUCGGUAAAAAUACCUAAUAGUCAUAAGUACAUGUUAGAGUGAGAAUUUGAUAUUGCCAUAGAAGGGAAAAAUGAUCAGCAUGUCAUAAAACAUAAGAAAAUAGGCUGAAUUUUAAUUUACGAGCUUUGGGGCAAAAGUGUAAAUAUGCAAAAGUUUAGGGGCAAAAUUGUAAUUUUUCCAAAAUAUGAUUUUGGGUCCAUUUGAAUAAUGUGAGUCCUAAUUAGACUAUAUUUUAAAUGAUAGAGCAAGGAAAACUAAAAUUCAGGCUAAAAUGGAAAAAUACCGAGUUGUGGACGAAAUAGUAAAAGUAGCCAUUUUCGCAUACGAGGUAAGUUCAUGUGUAAAUGUAGUAACAUAAUUUUCAUAUUAAGCAAUUUAAUGUUGUUUAUAUGAUAUGAUGCUGAUUAUUAUCAUGAAAUAUUAUGCUUUGUGGUUAUUGUUGAAUAAUAUGUAAUUAUGUGAAUUACUUGAUGAGUAUGAACUAUCACCGAAGUAUCAAUUUCGAUAUUCUGUGGAAGAUGGCAAAGGUGUGUGAUCGAGGAAAAAGCCCGUUUGAACCUUAGGAAUAGAUUAGGAUACAAGUGACAUGUCACUAGGAUGUUUGGGCAUCCGAACUCGUUGAGUUGAGUCCGAGUUCACUUAUGGAUGCGAAUGUCCAAACUCGUUGAGUUGAGUCCGAGUUCGAGAGAUGUAACUAGGCAUCCGAGCUCGUUGAGUUGAGUCCGAGUUCACUUAUGGAUGUGAAUGCCCGAGCUCAUUGAGUUGACUCCGAGUUCACUUAUGGGCGGGUUACAUGGUAGCUUGGCUACAUAUGUGGCACUUAUGUGCAAACUUUCCAUGUAUCCAAAUUAUAUUCCGAUGUGUUCAACGGGUAAAGUUCUACUUAAAUGGAGGAAUACUCAAGAUGAAAGGGACGUAUUGGUAAGUGUUGUGAAAUGGAUACUUUGAACAGGUAUGUACUUAACCCUCGGGUUGAAAACUCGAUAUAACAACAAUAUGGUAAGAUGAUAAAUGAAAAUAUGAUAUGAAUGUCUUGGUGAUGAUUAUGCAAAUGAUGUUUUAUGUUUGCUUAUAUGGUUAUGUUACUUGCUAUUUGCAUGUGAACUUACUAAGCAUUUAUGCUUACUCCCUCCUUUUCAUUCCUUGUAGUGUUGACAAGCCAGCUUGGAAAUCGGAAAUGGUCGGAGGCACGCUCACACUAUCCGUAUACCAUCUUGGCAUAAUGGCUUGUAUAUUUUGAGUAUGGCAUGUAUAGCAUUAUAAUCAUUUUGUGUAUAUGGUUUUGUGAUAUGGUUAUUGAGUGGUAUGGAAAUGCUUGGUAAUGAUUAGCCAUUGGAAUGGCUAAUCAUGAUCAUAUUUGGUGUUAUUGAUGCUAAAUUGCUAGCUAAUUCAUGGAAACCAUGAAAUAGGUAAAAUUUACCAUAAAAUAGAUUCAGACAGCAGCAGUGACGUGAGUUUGAAAAAUCACUAAAAAUAGUAGAGAUACAAUUAGAUGAUGAAUAAUAUAUAUAAUUGAAUAAUUAUGAGUCUAUUUUCAUAUGGAUGGAACAAAACAGGUAUAUGAGUUAUAUUUUAUGAGAUGUUUAAGUUUUUGUGAAACAGGGCCAGUGCGAUUUCUGGAUCCUCUGUUCUGACUUUAGAAAUUCACCAUAAAUGUUUCAAAAAUAAUUAGAAGUCAUGAUUUAUAUUUACAGAUUCCUUAUUUAGCCUAGUUUUAUUAGAAACAAACGGCAUAGUCAUUGAAACUCUGUACAGGGAGAUAUUUGAUUCAUAAUACAUAGAGGUCAGAGUAGUCGAACCCUGAAACAGGGGAGACUUUAACUAAUAAACUGUACUAAUUGGCUUGACCAAAAAUUCUAUAAAAACAAUUAGGAAAUAGAUAUAUGAGUCUAGUUUCAUGGAAAUUUUACAGAAUUAGAUUUCGAGUUUCGUAACUUGAGAUAUGAAUUUUUAAGCGACUAUGACGCAGAUUGUUAGCUUGACUGAAAAUUUUAAAAAUAAAUUGUUUGAGCUAUUUAAGUAAUGAAUUAAGUUUGUUAACACCUCGUGUUCGACUCCGGCGACAGUCUCGGGUACGGGGCGUUACAAUCUUACUUUACGAAGGGUCAAUGGACAUUGUGAGCAAGGGGCAAAGAUUGAAACCUGAGUCACCACAAGGACAAAAUGAAUCGUCUUUGAGUUACUUCAAGAAUUCAAAGAUGUUUUCAUAUGAUCAUGUCGAGAUAUACUCGAGAUAUUAAGAUCUGUGGAUGAUACAAAAUGUCUAUACAGUGUCAGAAGGACACAUGUUAAUGGUUUCAUGGUAGCCACGCUAAUCAUGAGGUUUGGGUAUUUUUGUUCCACCAUGGAAGGGGAUUGCAUUGGUUAAGCUAUAUUUAGGGAAACAAGCUUCAUUCAUUUCUUUACAAACUUUUUCUAUAUGGGGCAUGUAUUGGUCCAUUCUCACCUAAUAUGCAUCUUGGCAGUCAUUGAUUACUCCAUGAAGAGGGUAAAGGUCGCUUCAUAUGUCAAUAUUACAAGAUUGAUAGUCAUCAAAUUCCAAAAAAAAAAGGGUUGCUGACAAGUAAUGAUAGAAAGGAUUACUUUCAAAUACAACUGCACAAUGUCAAAAGUUUACAGUCUGUUCAAAGACCAGACACUAUAUCACAGUGCAGCAAAGGCAUUCAAAAAGAAAAACAAAAGUACAAAAAUAGAAAAAAGAAAAAGGAAAAGCAAUAAAGGUCAUAGUGAAAAUGACUGAGUCUUGUAAGGAUUGGCAUAAAGAAGUUAUUAUUUACCCUAUAUGCUUAUCGAGCGUUGGCCAGGACCUUUGUUGGGGUAAUACAUUGCUCAUUGGUUUAUGGGAUAGAAACGGUUUUGAAGAUGAGGUUCUUUUUCUUCGAGUCUUGUUAGAGUUGACGUUGGAUAAGGCAAAAUGGAUCUAAACUUGAUAUGAUCAAUUAAAUUCGAAUAGAGGAGAUUCUGUCAUGGUCUAAUGCACUAGAAAUAAAUGAUAUGAAAAUUCCAAGAGGGGAACUUGAUGUUAAAGAAGAUCCUUCUUAUACAAAAGGACUUCAAAUGAAGAAAUAUGCCGAACCAGGAGGGACCUUAUGUAGUAAAGAAGGCCUAUUAUAGAGGAGUAUUGAUAUUGACCGAAAAGAUUUGCCCAAUUCUGAAAAUUCAAAAUGCAGUCAAAGAGUAUUCUACCUAAAAUAGGAGCCAAGGUGAAAACCCACAAAGGGCACCUUGAGACCUUAAAAAUAAAAGAAAGGAAAAGAUUAAAAUAAAAAAGAAAUUAAAAGAGAAAAAAAGAGAAAUUAAAAAAAUUAAAAAAUAAAAAUAAAAAAAAAGAAAGAAAAGGAGAGGCCAAGACGAAAACCCGUAAAGGGCGCUUUGAGACCAAAGGGGAUUUGAGUUGAAAACAAGGAAAGGGCGGCUCAAAUUUGGAUCAAAAUGGGGCACACAAUAGUCUUGCUAUGCCUGAAUUAACAAUGAAAGAACUAUGUUAUGUCUUGGGGCAUCGACAAAGUACUUUGGAUCCCCUAAACACAGAUUAAGCUCAGAAUGGUCAUCAAGAAGUUGGUAUAGAGAAGCUCAAACCGCAAUAUCUAGGGCAUCUAGCUUUCCAUUUUUACCCUUUUGUUCUCAAUAAACUUCUUUCUUGGUUGCAUUUGCUCAUUUAUUUUGAGCUAUGUUCUCAAUUAAUUCCUUUCUUGUCAUGAUUUUUUUCAAGCAUUUUGCAUUGAAAUAACGAUUUUUGGACAAAUAAUACUUUCAUAAAAUGAGUUUCAUAUAUUACUUUGAAAGUUUUUGAAUAAUAUAGGAGCCUGAAACAGGACUAUUAUUUAAAACUUACCAAGCUUAAGGGUUGGAAAAAUUUAAGCCCAAAUUGAGAUUAUCUCUUUGGAAUUUCUGUCAAAAAUAUUGAUUGAACAAAAAGGAAUUACAUCGGUGUUAUAAUCUCGGCAAAGAAUGAGUAAUGGGGUUAUUCUUGAGAAAAGAAAAAUGGUAUUCUGUAUUCAUGCAGAUAUCAGACAUAUACAUCUGUUCAUUAUACCCAGGGAAUGGUGCAACAGAUCAAAUUGAUUGAAGAUCCUAUACCUCUGAGUUAUAGCAGGAUGGAUAGAAGAAAUCAAAUGAUUAUUCCCCUGAAGUUGCAGUGGGAAGUUCAAACUUUAUGUCCCAGAAGUUACAGUGUAAGGGACUCUAGAAUUACAGCGGGGCAAACUUGCUGAGCAGAAUGUGAUUGUUUCUUUGGGUUUUCUGUCAAGAAUACCAGCCAAACAAGAUGACAGCAUAAUAAAUCAGUGAUAAUGCUCUGGUGAACAACGAGCGAUGAUACCUUAAGCUUUUUUUUAAAAAAAAGGAAAAAAGAAAAAAGAAAGAUCAUUUAAAAAAAAGAUCAUUUUCAUUUUUACAUUCAUAUAUCAUUCAUAACACAUUUAGUUAGGUGCAUUUGAUUCAUUUCGAUAAUAGCAUCCUAAUUAUUUGACAUCAGCAUUACAGCUAGUUAGGAGCAUUUGAUUCAUUUCGAUCAUAGCGGCCUAAUUAUUUGACAUCAGCAUCACAUCUAGUUAGGAGCAUUUGAUUAAUUUUGAUCAUAGCAUCCUAAUUAUGUGUCAUAAGCAUCACGUCUAAUUAGGAGUAUUUGAUUCAUUUUGAUCAUAGCAUCCUAAUUAGUUGGCAUAAACAUGAUACGUGAAACCGAGUCUACAGGACAGGUCCAAGAGGACGGUGUAGUAACAUCGGUGAAGUCAGAUCUUAUAUCCCUGAAGUUGCAGCGGAAUAGAUCAAAGAUUACAAACAUUAUCUCCCUGAAGUGGCAGUGGAGUAGGUUUAAGAUUGCAGGUCUUAUUUCUCUAAGUAGUAGUGGAAUAGACCAAAGACGACAAAUCUUAUCUCCAUGUAUCGGCAAUGGAGCAGAUUUAAGCCUCAAGCCUUAUCUCUCUGAGGUAGCAAGAGAGCAGGUUGAAGAAUGAGUCUUAUCUCUCUGAGGUAGCAAGGAAGCAGACUGGGAAUUGUAGAUUUUAUCUCCCUGAAGUUGCAGUGAAGCAGAUCUUCGCAAAUGGCUUGUAACACCCCUUACCCGUACCCGAGGCCGAGAUAAGGUAUGAGGUGUUACCGAGACAAACAUACAAACAUUGAACUAAAAUAAAGGCCAUAAAAUUUCAUUCAUAUUUCAAAACGUUCAUUCACUUACACAUAGUCCCUUAUUUGAGUCUACGGAGCCCAAAACAUACUUUAGAAAGGGUUUGGGACUAAACCGAGAACUUAUGAAAAUCUUGAAAAUUUGAUGCUUUAAGGUUCCACACGCCCGUGUCCCAAAGUCGUGUUCCAUACAUGGCUGAGACACAUGGUCGUGUCUCUGCCUGUCUGGAAUAUACCUAGGCUAUUUUCCAAGCUUUGGUCAACCUUAAUCUCUUACACACUUAUACAUUUAUACCAAGAUUAUCAUCUUACCAAAUAUCUUUAGCUUAAUCAUCAAGCAUUCAUAUUUAAAGCUAGAUCAUAUCUUUAUAAAAUACCACAAUUCAGAUGCGCAGAAUAACAUGUUUGCCUGAAACAUUUCAAUUCAACUCCAUACCCAACAAGCAUUACAUUGAGACUAGUCAUAUAUAUAUAUACAUGUCAUGAUACAUACAUUCUCUUUCUGUUUUCUUAUAAACACAUAUCAUUUAUUUCAUUAUAUCAAUAUUUCAUAUACCAUAGUUUCCAUGUAUUCCACAUAUAUUUAUUUUCCUCAUCCUCCUCUCCAUUCCACAUCCUUAAUGUAUAUAGCAUUCUUGUAAGUACGAUUUCACAAUUUACUAAUAAAUACUCACAACAAACUGUCCACACGAGUCAUAGUCACUUACUUAUUUAUAAUUCGAGCUACAGAGCUCCAAAUUAAGAUCCGUAAAUUUCCCCUGAAACUAGACUCACAUAUCUUUCUAUCAUAAAAUUUUCAUAAUUUUUGGUUCAGCCAAUUAGUACAGUUUAUUCAUUAAAUUUCCCCUAUUUCACUUUUUGACAGUUCUGACCUCUCUUCACUAAAAAUUAAGUAUCUCACAGUACAGAACUCGAAUAAUGUUCUUGUUGAUUUAUCUUGAUAAUAGACUCAUUAAGGAUUUUAAAAAUAUAAGUUUGAGCUUCUAAUUAUUUUUUUCCAAAUUUUUGUGAUUUUCCAAAGUCAGAACAGGGGAUCACGUAAUCAUUCUGAACCAGUCUCCCAAAACAUAAAUAUCUCAAAAUAUAGAACUCCUUUUCUUGCUCUGUUUCUUUUAUAUGAAACUCAUUGAGUUUUAAUUUGAUAUCUCAUUCAGUCUCUAAUUCAAUUUCUACUAUUUUUGGUGAUUUUUAAAAAUCACGUCACUGCUACUGUCCAAAACAGUUUUAUUGCUAAUUCACUCUUUCACACUUUCUUUGUAUUAACCUCAUUUUAACAUACAUAUCACAAAUCAUUUUCACCACAUUUCAUACAUCACGAGUAUGGGCCCAUGAUUACAAGGUCACCAUAAAAUCAUCCUCAUGUGUAAUUUACUUGUUUAUAACCUUACCACAUCCCGGUCACUUAAUGUACACAUCAUUCACAUAACCAAGUUCCUGCACUUAUUCAUCACAAAACUCACAAAGCAAUACAUAGAGAGUCUCCCGCUGAACACUUCUGAUCAAUCCUCGAUACUUAGUGGUUUUAGAACAUAGCUCCACCCAUCAUAUAGUUCGGCUCUCUUGUACAUAUGGUAAACACUUAGUACCACCCAUGUGACCUAGCCAGUUUAUCUCGUAGCUCUCUUGUCUACAUGGUGUACACAUAGUAUCACCCAUGCGACCUAGCUACAUCAUAAUGUCUUGUAGCUCUCUUGUACACAUGAUGUGCACUCAGCACCAUACAUGUGACCUAGCUACAUACCAUCAGUAUCAUCCAAUCUUUUCGAAGGUUCAACCGGGAUUUCUCUCUCUUUUCCAACAAUUUCACCAAUCAAGUAAUUAUCAACAAACAUAUUUCCAACAUUAUUAUAAAAUAUCAUAAUACAAGUAAAAUUGAUGUAUUACUUACAUAUAAACUUACAUCUCAUUUAAUAUCAAGGUAAUAACAUUAAAUUACACAUUGCCUUAUUAAAAAUCAUAUGAACUUACAAUUUCUCAUAAUAUCCAUAAUCAUAGAAAUCACAUUUAUGUAUGAUAAUUCAAUGCACUUCAUGAACCAUAGACAUAUUUUUAAAUCAAUUCAUAAACUGGACACCAUAACAUUUAAUUUAACAUAAUUCAAUUAAUUCACUAAAUUUAACUUUCAAAUAUAAAUUACAGCAUUAUUGCUGUAUUAUUAUCACACCAACUUACAUACUUUAACACCUCGGAAAUCAUAGGAAAUAUAUCAAUUUUACAUUGAAACAUGCAUAAAUUAAUGCUUAUUAUACAUAUGAACUUACCUCGAUACUAAAACGGCCAUUUUACCAACUUUCUCAAUUUUCAAUUUUUCUCUCAUUCUAGGUUCAAAUCUCAGUUUUCCGAGAUCUAAAACAUCAUAUUUUACUUAUUUAAUUAAUGUACUAUUCAAAACAGUCCUUAACUCAAACUUUGGAAAAAUUACAAUUUUGCCCCUAAACUUUUGCAUAUUUACACUUUUUCCCCUAGGCUCGGGAAUUAAACUUCAUCCCUUAUUCUUAUGUUUUAUGACAUGCUGAUCACUUUUCCCUCCUAUGGCAACAUCAAAUUCUCACUCUAACAUAUACUUAUGACUAUUAGGUAUUUUUACGGAUUAAGCCCUUUUACUCGUUUUCACUCAAAACCGAGUAGCACAAGUUGUCUAACAUAAUUUAAAACCUCAUGUUCUAUCAUAAAACAUCAAAAUAAACACAUUUCACCUAUGGGUAUUUUUCCAAAUAUGAACCCUAGCUUAAAUUAUUGCUAGAAUAAGCUUAAUCAAAUUACCGGGAUUCCAAAAACGUAAAGAACUUGAAAAACGAGGUUAGAACGGACUUACUAUUGACGUUGGAAAGCUUGAAAACCCUAGCCAUGGCUUCCCCCAUGCUAAUUUCGGCCUCCAUGAAAAAGAUGAGUCAAUUUUGGCUUUAUUUUCCCUUUUUAUUUCUUUUAAUUACCAAAUGACCAAAAUGCCCUUCCUUACUAAACUUUCAAAAAUUCCAUCCACGUCCAAAUUUUUUCCAUAACUUAGAAAUUGGUCAAAUUUCUAUUUAAGACCUCCUAAUUAAUAUUUCAAAGCAAUUUCAUACUAGAAACUUCUAGAAUGCAAGUUUUGCAACUUAUUCAAUUUAGUCCCUAACUUCAAAUUGAGCACUUUAUGCAUAGAAUUUCUUCACGAAAUUUUCACAAAAUCAUGCAAUCAUAUCAUAAACCUCAAAAUAAUCAUAAAAUAAUUAUUUCUAUCUCAGAUUUUGUGGUCCCAAAACCUCUGUUCCAACUAGACCCAAUUUUGGGCUAUUACAUGGCUAAUCUUAUCUCCAUGUAUCGGCAAUGGGGCAGAUUUAAGCCACUAGCCUUAUCUCUCUGAGGCAGCAAGAGAGAAAGUUGAAAAUUGUAGUCUUAUCUUCCUGAGGUAGCAAGGAAGCAGACUGAAGAUUACAGAUCUUAUCUCCCUAAGCAGUUGCGGAGCAGAUUGAGGAUGGCGAAUCUUAUCUCCAUGUAUUGGCAAUGGGGCAGAUUUAAGUCACCAGUCCUAUUUCCCUAAGGUUACAGUCAAGAUUCAGCAAAACCGGGCAAAAUUGGCCCUAUUUAAAGUCUUUGCUCUAUUCUCGUUACACGUUAAUGAGCAAAGAGGGGCAGUUGUAAGACCCAAUUUGUGCCCGGGUUUACACAAACUAAAAAACAAAUCAAAAUAUAAAUAAUAAUAAUAAUAAAGUCCAAUGUCCAUUUCUUACAUAGCCCAACAACCAAAAAUAACGGGCUCAAAUUAAAAAACCUAAACCUAACAAAAUACAUAGCCCAAUGGCCCAAAUAAUCCAAGCUUCAGUUUUAGAAAAUGAAACCCUAAGUCAGUAGCCUCGUGUCGCAGCCUUCACGAGUGACCUCGCUACAUCACACGUGCACCUCCAUUCCACUAUGUCAACGAAACCUGGGAGAAGGAAAAUAAAUAGCAAAGGAAUGCACGAGAGAGAAGCUAACAGAAUUUACAGCGAUUGACAACAAGAAAAUGUAAUUUUAUUUUUUAUUUACUCUGUAAAUUCGGC